CCAGACUCCUACGGGAGGCAGCAGUGGGGGAUAUUGCACAAUGGGCGCAAGCCUGAUGCAGCGACGCCGCGUGAGCGAAGAAGUAUUUCGGUAUGUAAAGCUCUAUCAGCAGGGAAGAAAAUGACGGUACCCAAAGAGGAAGCUCCGGCUAACUACGUGCCAGCAGCCGCGGUAAUACGUAGGGAGCGAGCGUUGUCCGGAAUUACUGGGUGUAAAGGGAGCGUAGGCGGGCGAGAAAGUUGAAUGUUAAAUCUACCGGCUUAACUGGUAGCUGCGUUCAAAACUUCUUGUCUUGAGUGAAGUAGAGGCAGGCGGAAUUCCUAGUGUAGCGGUGAAAUGCGUAGAUAUUAGGAGGAACACCAGUGGCGAAGGCGGCCUGCUGGGCUUUAACUGACGCUGAGGCUCGAAAGCGUGGGGAGCAAACAGGAUUAGAUACCCUCGUAA
Molecule: ribosomal RNA, 444 nt
Filed under: uncultured bacterium
Lineage: Bacteria
Description: bacterial SSU rRNA
Rfam family: Bacterial small subunit ribosomal RNA
Source: RNAcentral